This 236-nucleotide ribosomal RNA is filed under the name uncultured bacterium. RNAcentral's name for it is "partial 16S ribosomal RNA". The record is from RNAcentral.
CGGAGGCGAGCGUUACUCGUAAGUACUGGCGUAAGGGUUGUAGGCGGUUAACUUGAAUAAGUUAACUAGUAAGUGUGUUAACUGGUGUUAUCACUAGUUAACUCAGUGGUGGAGUAGUUGUAAGUGCAAGGUACCUUGGUGGAGGUUGAAUCCGAAGAUCAACGGGACCCAACGGCGAAGGCGUUGUCACUAGUUACUACUAACGCUGAAACGAAGACGUGGGAGCAAACAGGAUU